GGACCCGUGGUGUAGCGGUUAGCAUGCGGCCCUGUCAAGGCCGAGGUCGCGAGUUCAAAUCUCGUCGGGUCCG
RNAcentral lists this transfer RNA (73 nucleotides) under Chloroflexota bacterium. RNAcentral describes it as "Chloroflexi bacterium tRNA-Asp". It matches the Rfam family "tRNA". From Rfam's summary of the family: Transfer RNA (tRNA) molecules are approximately 80 nucleotides in length. Their secondary structure includes four short double-helical elements and three loops (D, anti-codon, and T loops). Further hydrogen bonds mediate the characteristic L-shaped molecular structure. tRNAs have two regions of fundamental functional importance: the anti-codon, which is responsible for specific mRNA codon recognition, and the 3' end, to which the tRNAs corresponding amino acid is attached (by aminoacyl-tRNA synthetases). tRNAs cope with the degeneracy of the genetic code in two manners: having more than one tRNA (with a specific anti-codon) for a particular amino acid; and 'wobble' base-pairing, i.e. permitting non-standard base-pairing at the 3rd anti-codon position. The record is from RNAcentral. Lineage: Bacteria; Bacillati; Chloroflexota. RNAcentral also lists the same sequence under 1 other name.